RNAcentral lists this long non-coding RNA (447 nucleotides) under Piliocolobus tephrosceles (Ugandan red Colobus). Its description in RNAcentral is "lncRNA (ENSPTEG00000031569.1)". The record is from RNAcentral. Lineage: Eukaryota; Metazoa; Chordata; Mammalia; Primates; Cercopithecidae.
AUGUUGCUCAGGCUAGUCUCAAACUCCUGGCCUCAAGCAGUCCUCCCAUCUUGGCCUCCCCAAGUGCUGGGAUUACAGGCUGUACGGGAAGCAUGGUGCCGUCAUCUGCUCCUGCUGAUGCCUUGGGAAGCUUCCAAUCAUGGUGGAAGGUACAGGGAACAAGUGUGUCACAUGAUUGCCAGGAAACCACCCGAAGCUAAGAGUCAGGCCUGGAACAGAUCCUCAGCACAUACAGAGGGAGCAUGGCCCUGCUACUACCUGGAUCUCAGACUCACAGCCUCCAGAACUGUGAGACGGUUUAAGUUCUACAUUUCUGGAGGGAUUGCAGAGAUUAAUGCCACCAUCAAGUACUUGAAGGAUAUAGGGCUGGUGCUUCCUACCACAUCCCCACUCAACUUGCCUGUUUGGCCUGUGCAGAAAAUGGAGAAUAAUAGUAGAUUGUCAUAA